AAGAAUGAGGAAGACGAUGAGGAGUUCCGGUGAUGUGAUAAACUCAGGUGAAGAAGACGAGUUGAAAAAAUGUGGCCCUAUUUUUUUGUCCUUUGAUGAUGAUGACAU
This 108-nucleotide small nucleolar RNA is filed under the name Arabidopsis halleri subsp. gemmifera. RNAcentral describes it as "snoRNA snoR9_plant". It matches the Rfam family "Small nucleolar RNA snoR9". Rfam says of the family: snoR9 is a member of the C/D class of snoRNA which contain the C (UGAUGA) and D (CUGA) box motifs. Most of the members of the box C/D family function in directing site-specific 2'-O-methylation of substrate RNAs. Lineage: Eukaryota; Viridiplantae; Streptophyta; Magnoliopsida; Brassicales; Brassicaceae. The record is from RNAcentral.